CUCCUCCGCUCACUCCCUCUACUAUCUCUCCAGCGCCAUCGCCUCAGCUGGCAAGCUCGCUCUCUCUCUCUCUCUAAAACCCUCUCCGUCUCUCUCUGGGAUUUCAGUCUAUGCCACACAACAAUUUCUCAUGGACACAAUGGAGCCUCCCCAGUCGCCAAACCUAGCCCCGGCAAGCCUCCAAGGAGAAAAACGCCUGCACCUUCAGAUCUAACUAUACGGCCUUGGAUUCGAAGCCUUCGCCGGCAGCUAAGUUGAAGAGUCUGUUGCCGCCACAGCCGCCGCCGUCAAAUCCUCUCAAACAGAAGCUUGGGAAAGACUGGGUAUUCACAUUUUUUCAACCUUUCAAGAGAGACAACUCUCAGGCCAAGCGGUCUAGCAUUUUCGAACUCUCGCGCCUGUUGCGGCAUCGCGGUCCUGAUUGGAGCGGGUUGCAUUGCCAUGGGGAUUGUUACCUUGCUCAUUAGCGAUUGGUUAUUGUGGACCCUGCCUCAGGAGAUCAACCACUCUGCAACAAGGACAAGACCGUUAUUAUCACGGUUAAUGGUGAGAUAUAUAACCACAAGCAGUUGAGAGAAACAUUAAAGGGUCAUCAAUUCUGAACUGGCAGUGGCUGUGAAGUGAUAGCGCAUCUUGAUCAAUUUGGUUUGCUUCAGAAAUGAAAGCUAUAAGUGAUGAUUGUGAAAGAUUGAUAUCUUUUCCUCCUGGGCAUUUAUACUCUAGCAAACAAGGACGGCUGAAAAGGUGGUACAAUCCACAAUGGUUUUUGGAGAAGAUACCAUUGACUCCUUACGAUCCCAUUGUUUUACGCGAUUAGUUGCAACCAUCACGCCAAAAUUCUCAUGGAAAAACUUCAGGAGCAUACAAAUGGUGACUGAUGUAUUAUAUUUCCUUUUCAAUGAAGAUUUGAACCUCCGAUCCCACUGUUAUUUAGAAAAAAUUUUGUACCAGUUCUUUAGCACAACCUUUAAGUAGCACACUGGCACACUAUGUUACUUCUUUUCAAAUGCAGGCCUUGAUGCUAGGAUAGGAAUGUCUUGUAAGCUCAAUGUCUUUUUGUCUUUCCCUUUUCCUUUCCUUUCUUUCCUUCUGUUUUUCUUGUUAUAGCUAAUUGUUCAUUUCAUUUUAUUUGCAGGUGAAAACAGAAGAACAAAUGGGAUAUAAGUACGGCGAGGCUUGCUUUCGUUUCUGUUUCUAGUAUUAUGUACCAUUUAGACUUAAAUUUUUGUUUUAUUUCGACAUGUUAUGCAUAGAAAUACUUGGGAUGUUGUUAUGUACUUUGAGCAUCAACAUUAAUCAAAAUUUAUUUACUUA
Long non-coding RNA from Rosa rugosa (rugosa rose), 1314 nucleotides. RefSeq lists it as uncharacterized. NCBI's taxonomy places the organism in Eukaryota, Viridiplantae, Streptophyta, Magnoliopsida, Rosales, Rosaceae. The record is from RefSeq and is a predicted model, not a curated record. The transcript is spliced from 6 exons.